UACGUAGGGGGCAAGCGUUGUCCGGAAUUAUUGGGCGUAAAGGGCGUGUAGGCGGUAUACUAAGUCAGAUGUGAAAGUUCUGGGCUUAACCCCGGAAUUGCAUUUGAAACUGUAAUACUUGAGUACUGGAGAGGUAAGUGGAAUUCCUAGUGUAGCGGUGAAAUGCGUAGAUAUUAGGAGGAACACCAGUGGCGAAGGCGACUUACUGGACAGAUACUGACGCUGAGGCGCGAAAGCGUGGGGAGCAAACAGG
RNAcentral lists this ribosomal RNA (253 nucleotides) under uncultured bacterium. RNAcentral's name for it is "partial 16S ribosomal RNA". It matches the Rfam family "Bacterial small subunit ribosomal RNA", at positions 524 to 776 of the family's 1533-position model. The record is from RNAcentral.